Molecule: long non-coding RNA, 1497 nt
Filed under: Homo sapiens (human)
Lineage: Eukaryota; Metazoa; Chordata; Mammalia; Primates; Hominidae
Description: non-protein coding LINC00847:9
Source: RNAcentral
CCCACUUUACUUCAAGUGAAGUCACUGGGUUGUCCCCAUGAAAUAUCUCCACAAUGGGUGUGCUAGACCUUUACUCUCUGUGGCACCACCAAGACCCCCUCACCCUGCCAGAGCCCUCUGAAGUGUACUCAGAAUGGAGGGGCUGGAAGUGGGGCCAGUGGUCCUGGUAGUCAGCCUCCCCUUCUGACACAAGAAUUAUCGUGGAACAGCUUGUGUGACCGAUCAACUGGUCUCUCCAUCUUUAAGCCAUUGUCUUGUUGACUCUGUUACUGCAGAGUUUGGGGAGGUCUCAUGGCUUCUCGCAUCCUAUUUCCUGAGCUUCCCUGAAGCCAACUUCUGGCCACUGGUAUGUGAUGCGAGCACAGUGCCUCCUCCUGCUCCUCCAGGAAGCUUCUGCUGAUUGAACGCAGGCCAGAUGGCGAGAUCCGGAGCAACCUUCUUAGAUCAAGGGAAGAAAGGGGCACAAGAGGGGAGUAGGUAACAAGAUAAAAGGAGCUCCCUCCCUGAUGACUACAGAGCCAUCGUGGCAGCCCUGGGCCUCCAUUUCAGACGUUCAUCUUGCCUAAGCCACCACCAUCAGGGUCUCAGUCAGUCAUCAUUCUCAUUUACUCGGGUGGCUGGGUGAGGGCGGAAUACUACCUUCCAGCUGUCUGAGAUUAAGCCUAAGCCACCACCAUCAGGGUCUCAGUCAGUCAUCAUUCUCAUUUACUCGGGUGGCUGGGCGAGGGCGGAAUACUACCUUCCAGCUGUCUGAGAUUAAGCAGAACAGCAGCUAAAGCAGUAACAGCAGGUCUCCUUCAGCAGCUUGCCACAGGGAAGAGGGUCCCGCGUGAACCGAACUCAACUUCCACCUGCGCAGAGGUAGCUACCAUUUGCGUAGAGGUAGCUGGGUCUUUAAGGUUAGAGGGAAGGCGCAGGGAGGGAGAGACGGCGGGUGGGGGUUGAACAAAGUGGAGAUUCACAAAAGCAGACUAGGGCGGGCGACGUGAUCAGAUGACCUGUGCGGGCGGCAGCCUCCUGCCCUCCUCCCCUUCGUGCGCCGGCUGGAGCGAAGAGUUCUUUUGACAGCCGUGAGCUUCCCCGCCAGGAACUUACUGGGGCUGCAUCACCCUAGAAACGUGGCUUUGGGCUGUGGAAACGCUGCCUCUGUGGAAGUCUCUCCUCGCGGGGGUGGACGGGUCGCUGCGCGCCCAGCGUUCUUCUGCGGUUCUCACAGCCCGCCGCCGCCGCCGCCUCGGGGACCUUUGCGGGGAGGCCUCAGGGCACCUUCCUCCUCUCUCUCAGGCACGUCCUCGACCUCAGUUGCCACGUGCACAUGCUGGUGCCUUCCAGGUCGGUCUUUCUCCACCAGACUCCACCUGGAACUUUCUUCCUUUUCGUCCUGUGCUGGCCUAACCCCUGCUCGGCCUCGGCCCUCAGCUGCCGGCUCUAACAAAGCCUCUGUCUUUCCCAGACCCCUGUGACCAGGUCAGGCUCUGCUCCCUGCGUUCCUCUCUC